This 253-nucleotide ribosomal RNA is filed under the name uncultured bacterium. Its description in RNAcentral is "partial 16S ribosomal RNA". It matches the Rfam family "Bacterial small subunit ribosomal RNA", at positions 524 to 776 of the family's 1533-position model. The record is from RNAcentral.
UACGGGGGGGGUAAGCGUUGUUCGGAAUUACUGGGCGUAAAGGGCUCGUAGGCGGCCAACUAAGUCAGACGUGAAAUCCCUCGGCUUAACCGGGGAACUGCGUCUGAUACUGGAUGGCUUGAGUUUGGGAGAGGGACGCGGAAUUCCAGGUGUAGCGGUGAAAUGCGUAGAUAUCUGGAGGAACACCGGUGGCGAAGGCGGCGUCCUGGACCAACACUGACACUGAGGAGCGAAAGCCAGGGGAGCAAACGGG